CUCAAAGGGUUCUAGUCUUCGUACAUAUCCAGUCACUACCUCAGCAGCUCUCCAUUCUCCCUGCUCUCCACUAUCUCCCCAGCGCUGGCUGCAUGAUUUCACCUGGAGCCUAGGUGAUUCUUGCUGAAACAAAGUAGUAACAGAAAAGGAUCCUGAUGUCAUGAUGUGGGAUCCAAACUCUUCCCAUUGGAACAAAACCAUACCUCUUCAGCCUCGGUUACUUGGUUUUGAGUAAUCUACUCUGCUUGGCACGCGCUGGCUCUGGGGCUAUUCCACCUUCCUCAAGUGCCCCUCCUUACAGCGAGUCGCUUGCUACGCCCGUGGUCCACUUCCUAUACAUUGACCUGGGAAAUGGCCAGCAGCUCCAUGUAGCUACUGACAACCUGAAAUGCGGCCAAAGCUCAAGCAGUCACAAGCACAACACUCCUGGUCACAGCUUGAGCCACUUCCCCUGGCUUCUGCUGCCUCCUCUCCUAUUCCCGUUGGAUCCUGGCAGGGCCACAGAAGGCUGACAUUGAAGUAGGAUGAACCUGGCCUGAAAGUCUCUGCUGUAAACUUUCCAGUACCAUCAUUCUGACUCAGCAGCUGCUGCCUUGCCCUGAAUCCUUCCUUCCCCACCGUUUUCCUCAGCAGCUGACACCAGAGUCUGAAGGAUGAGCUGAUUAGUUGCUCCAGGAGCCGCGUCGUAGACAGACAAAAGCCACGUGGGCCAUUUCUCAGCACCCCUGGAUGAGGCUUUAUGGCUAUGUGACAAAUGCAGCCGGCUGACGUAUUCCAUCCCGGCAUUUUUUAGUGAGGCAAAGGCCAACUUAGCAGGCUGUGACAUGUGACAAUACCUGAAAACUGAGCCUGCCAGCCAGCCACGGGAGAGUAGUUGCCAGAAGCGGCGGGUCGGAGCCUGCUAACCCAGUGUUCCAUGGGAAAGCAGCUACCAUGAGACCCGGAGCAGAUUCGAAUUUCCUUGGGGAAGCAGAACCGGUGUUUAAAGGAUUCUUGUUUCAGUCCAGAAAACAAGAACCUCCCAUCUUUCAAACUGACAAGAGAAGCAGGCAUGGUGGCAGACACCUAUAAUCCCACUAUACCCUCGGUGGCUGAGCGCUGCCACGAACAUAGGUGUCCAAGUUUUCAACUGAGCAGUGUUCUCAGUUCUCCAGGAUACAUACCUAGGAGUGGGACUGCCGGGUCACGUGACAGUUCUCCAUUUAACUUCUGAAGAACCAACCACUCAACAGACUCACUCUCAUGCUUACGAUUUACGAAGUGUCUUGAUCACCAGUUAAGAGCAGCAGUCAAACUCCAGGCAGCCCUUUAAAGGUUUCUUUCCAGAAACCCUGAUUAGAGCAGCCAGGCUCAACCCAAGUCAAAUUUCUUCCAAGGUAAGGUUCCACUCAGGACUUUGAACAGCCUCUCUGCUGUACUACGUGUCUCAACAAGAACUGGCCAGGCAGGAAUCCCUUCCUGCCUCCUAGGCAUCCUUGCUUUUCCAUUAUGUGCUGCACACCUCAGGAAAAUGAAGGUAGUUAAUCUAACGCAUGUAUUUCCCUCCUCUGUUUUUGCUAAAGAGCUCAUCUUAGAACCUGGCAGCAACUCAGGGGCUUUGUACUACCUGCUUGUCCUGGGUGGAACGCUAUUUUCUUCCUGGCUCUAGAACAGGGCGUUCCUAACAGCGGUCAAGGCUAUAUGGAGACCAUCCUUUCACUCCCAGCAGGCUUUUGUUGCAGAUUAGGCCUGACCCUACAUCCAGGGAUGCUGGCUGUGAGCUGAGCCCACUUUGCAGAUGGGCUACUCGGUGGGCUCAGGUCCACUCUAUAGUUUUGGUGGGUGUAAUGGGAAAUAAUUCCACUACAGGCCAGUGUAGCGAGUCAUGGGCUUUCUCUGUCAC
Molecule: long non-coding RNA, 1882 nt
Organism: Mesocricetus auratus (golden hamster)
Lineage: Eukaryota; Metazoa; Chordata; Mammalia; Rodentia; Cricetidae
Exons: 3
Source: RefSeq, a predicted model, not a curated record